Molecule: long non-coding RNA, 1386 nt
Filed under: Nicotiana tabacum (common tobacco)
Lineage: Eukaryota; Viridiplantae; Streptophyta; Magnoliopsida; Solanales; Solanaceae
Description: long non-coding RNA (NTAB_LNC008731)
Source: RNAcentral
CAUUAAUUAUGCCUCUUCUCUAUAGUCAUAUUGUGUCUCAUUUCUUGAAAGCCAAUAAAUCAGAUGGAGUAAUGAGAAACACAAGGGCCAAAUAUCCCUUCCGAAGUAAUUUGCUGGUACAGUCAAACCUCUCUAUAAUAAUUUCGUUUGUUUCGAAAAGUUUUUUAGUUGUUAUAGCGAAGUGUUGUUACAGAGAACAUAUAUUAUAACAUAACAUGAAAAUUGGUUCCGAAAAAGCUUGGCUUUUAUAGAGAAGUGUUAUUAUAUAGGGAUACUAUUAUAGAGAUGUCUGACUGUAUUGUUUCUAACUGUUAAACCUUUGAUUCAUUUAGAUAGCUAGAAAUCCACAAGCUAUUUGCGAUAAAGAUAUAAAUUUGUGAUUUUACUGUCAUAAUAAAUAGAGUACAAUUAAUUUAAUAUGAUAAGAAUGAUUUAAUUGUGACUUUAGUAUUAUCGUGGGUAAAAGGAACGUGAAAUUAACCUUCGUGUCACUUCAUUUUCAGCCUGUCUUGAAGUUAUUAUAAUUGUUAGUAUUUCUUUUCAUGUAUUAUUCUUUUGGCUUAUUAUUUAGGGCUAAUGAUAUCUAGAUUGCACUUUGAAAUAAGCUAAUAUUUAGUUAUAAUUUGCUUGUCAUAUAUAUAAAAAGAUGAAAACUACAAUUUGAAAAGGAACAAAGUUCUUAAUUUUUAUUUAUUUAAAAAAACGUUAGUAAGGCGGUAUAUGCUUGUUAUGUGUAUAUUUAUUCUUUUUCAUUGCCCAAAAUCUGUUUAUUUGUUUGUAUAUACGUACGAAUUUAGAGAUAUCAAGAAAAGCUAGAGAAAGAAUUGAAGUACAUAACCUAGCUGGUUUUCAUUAUACUACUUCAUAAGGUUGAUGUUUCAUUUCUCUUUAUUUUCUAGAGCUUGUGAGUUGAGUCAGUAACCAAGGUCUAAGGACCCUUGUAUUUUUUGUUUUAAAUAAUGUUCUGACUAAACCCUUGUGAAUUUAAUAUAGCUUUAAAAUUAAGAAGUUGCUCGUUUACUUUUCUGCUUUCAGGAGACAACCUUGUAAACCAUUUGGAACACUCAUUUGAGCAAGAAAAUUGGAGCUAAUAAUACGAUGAAGAUACGAAGAUGAUGUAGCUUUGGCCAACCUCAACCUCGGACCUUCAUCUUUAAGGUCGAUAAUGGCGUCAUUUAAGAAUUUAAAGUAUAUUGUGCAUGGCACCAAGACAAGAGAGAAGACUCUAAACUGAGGCCUGUUGAAGUAAUAUUUAUAUGUAAAUCGAGAUGUAUACUCUUAUAGUUUUAGCUUUUUAGACGAGAUAAUCAUACAUUUUAAUAUGGUAUGAGAGCAAACAGAAGCCUUGAGUUCAAGUCUCAAUGCACUCAUUAUCAGAAAGCAUGU